GACGAACGCUGGCGGCGUGCUUAACACAUGCAAGUCGAACGGAAAGGCCCUGCUUUUGUGGGGUGCUCGAGUGGCGAACGGGUGAGUAACACGUGAGUAACCUGCCCUUGACUUUGGGAUAACUUCAGGAAACUGGGGCUAAUACCGGAUAGGAGCUCCUGCUGCAUGGUGGGGGUUGGAAAGUUUCGGCGGUUGGGGACGGACUCGCGGCUUAUCAGCUUGUUGGUGGGGUAGUGGCUUACCAAGGCUUUGACGGGUAGCCGGCCUGAGAGGGUGACCGGCCACAUUGGGACUGAGAUACGGCCCAGACUCCUACGGGAGGCAGCAGUGGGGAAUAUUGCACAAUGGGCGGAAGCCUGAUGCAGCAACGCCGCGUGCGGGAUGACGGCCUUCGGGUUGUAAACCGCUUUCGCCUGUGACGAAGCGUGAGUGACGGUAAUGGGUAAAGAAGCACCGGCUAACUACGU
Molecule: ribosomal RNA, 467 nt
Filed under: uncultured bacterium
Lineage: Bacteria
Description: partial 16S ribosomal RNA
Rfam family: Bacterial small subunit ribosomal RNA
Source: RNAcentral